This is a long non-coding RNA of Corvus moneduloides (New Caledonian crow), 2489 nucleotides long. Lineage: Eukaryota; Metazoa; Chordata; Aves; Passeriformes; Corvidae. The record is from Ensembl.
AUUACUCCUCAACAAUUCCCUUUAUCAUCCAAACUUGUAGUCUCAAGGAAGAAUCCAAGUUAGCUUGAGUCAUCUCUGAAGGCUGGUGUUGCAGGAUUAAGGGAGAGGAAUUCACUUUUUAAUUGAACCUCUUCAUGAGGUUGCAUUCACUAUGUUGCUUGAGAUUGAGACUCAGGUGUUCCUCCUUGGAAUGCUGGUGUAGUGUUAGUGCUGUGAAGCAUCUUUCCAGUCCCAGAAUGUCUUAGAAAUCAGGGUGGAAGUCCAUUCAACCCAAAUUGUUGGUGUCCUGAGUACAAUUUUGGAAAUGUAUAGCAACAUUGGAUGUCUUCUAACACCUUUCUUGGUUUCUUCAUUCAGGAGGGAUAUUGCACAUAUCCAUGAAGUGACUGAUACAGGCACUGCACAGAUGCUCAGAAAAAUGCUGAGGAGACCACUCUCCACUGACAGACACCUCUUGAGAGCUAGCAGACACCAUGGCAUUGUUGCAAUGGGGAUGGGAAGAAAAUGAAUAUAAUUUGCACAAGAAGAGGACAGAGCUCAUCCAAGUAAGUCCAUAGGUGAUGAGGAGGCACAGCCUUAUCUCCUGGCAUGUGGGAGUUUCUGGACCAGUUGGAGCCAUGAAUCCCAGCCUGGAGCUGCACUCUGGAUGUGCAUCUUUUAUCUUUAUUUAGGGAAAUAUCAGCAGAUAGUCCUAAUCCCCAUGAUUUCUGCACCAGCAUCUUUUAAGGGCUCACUGUUAAAUCGCAAUCACCACAAUGAUGAGGUAUUUGGGGCAGGAAUGGGUAUUUCCAUGAUUCUGGCCAAGGCACCACUUGUCCCCCGCGGCGCUUGCCGAAGGUGACGGUAAAACAGAGUUCACAACCCGAGGAGCAAUUGCUGGCUGUAAUAGUGUGUCACGUAUUAAGGGAGCAUGUUUGAAACCACGUUAUAUUAUUAAAAUUCAUGGGAGUGAUUUAUAGGGGUUUUUAAAAACAGCAGCUUGCCAAUAUAAAUUGGCUUAGGAAAGUCAACUGUAAUCCACCCAGGUCCAAAUAAUGACAUUUCCUCCAAUACAUCCAAAAAGCUGAAAAGCAGAAAAUAAUAUCCAGGCUCCAGAGAUAAGGCGAGCACCCAAGGGAAAAAGGACUCUGAAAUAUUCAUGCAGCCGUAGAUUGGAUGGUGGAAAUGGCCGUUCCCAACGGCUGCGUUUAGGGACUGAUGAAUUUAGUUACUGUACCUUUAUAUUUAUCGCUCAAUAAACAAGACAAGCUCCUUUACGAGGCUGAGCAAGACUAAUUUAGCUAUUUUAGUGCAAAGGAAAUGGUUUUCUGGGCAAGGCAAGGGGUUGGUAAUUUUGUAUGAAAUUAGGAGACUUUUAAUUUAGCCACUGAAGGUGCUGGGAAUAACAGGGCUGGAGAUGAGAUGUGAGGAAUAAAUCCCCCCCAUAGCAGUGGGGUUGGGUACUCACCCUGGGUUUUGGGGGACCCCACACUGAGAGAGAGCGGAGCCUUUCUGGGCUGCCUGCACCUGCUGAUGAAGAUGUUCCAGCUCUUGAUUUUUAAGAUGAUUUUUGGAGGCUGAGGCCGUCGCUGUAAAGGUUUUACAACAGCAAUGCUGGAAUCAAGCGUGGCUCUGUAAAAGUGUCAGCAAAUGAAGCGGUGAUGCCCAAGCGGUAUUAACACCAAAAUGACCUUUCCAACAGUUAGGGCUUUAUGGGAUAUUAUAAAUUCUCCCUGUGUUGGCAGGGUUAUAACUAGGACAUUAGUAACAUCUUCUCUGGCAAUAUUUGAGGCAGGAAUGUAGUGUUUGGAGCCAAAAACACCUAACUUAAUUUUUUUUAGUGUUUCUGUAGCUGAAAAGUUGAUUUGAGAUGUUUCCAGCAGAAAUUUGAAUACACAUGGUCAAAAGGAGAUUGUGUCUAUUAAAGAUGAGUUUUGAGCACUCAAGUAGGGUUUUUUUGAGGGCUCUUAGUAUUUCCAACAGCCCAAACUCAAAGCGAUUUAAAUGUAUUGCUUGGGGUUUUUUAUUGCCUUAGUUUCUAAGACUUCAGAUUAAUAUUGUCAAACCUUUUUUUUAUUGCCAUAAAGACAGGGAAAGUCCUUUUUAAUGAAAGCCACAAGCUCUACACAAUACCUUGACUUUGCAGCUGCUAUCUGCAGUACCAGAUUUCACUGAACUUACAUGAAAAUCCCCUGAGUGAGCCCACUCUGAUCUUUUUUUCACCUCUUGCAUUGCCACUGGGAAAUAAAAUCAGUUUUUGUGCUGGUAUUUAUUAUGAAGUAUAUAUUUAGACAAUCCAUGCUGCAAUUUAGCAGUUCCGAGAGCUUUGGGGAGUUGUUUGAAGCGACUUUUCACUCACCUGCUUAUUGAAACCCCUUUAGAAAGUGCUGCUGGGCUCAAUCUUGCUCAUUUAUUCCCUGCAGCCUCUACUCUGCCUGUCCUUUGGCAUCGAGGGCAGCAGCAGCAGCAGCAGCACACGGGACAGUGGCAGGAGGGUGGCUUAUGGUUCA